AAGCCAUGCAUGUCUAAGCAUAAGCCAUCAAAUGGUGAAGCCGCGAAUAGCUCAUUACAACAGCCAUAGUUUAUUGGAUCUUCUCUCAUACUUGGAUACCUGUAAUAAUUUUAGAGCUAAUACACGCAAACAAGCUCCAAUCUCACGAGCGGAGUGCAUUUAUUAGAACAAAACCAAUCGGGCUUGCCCGUGCGUUUGGUGAAUCUGAAUAACUCAGUUGAUCGCACAGUCUAGCACUGGCGACGUAUCUUUCAAGUGUCUGCCUUAUCAACUGUCGAUGGUAGUUUAUAUGACUACCAUGGUUGUAACGGGUAACGGAGAAUAAGGGUUCGACUCCGGAGAGGGAGCCUGAGAAACGGCUACCACAUCC
This 370-nucleotide ribosomal RNA is filed under the name Paracanthonchus mamubiae. RNAcentral describes it as "bacterial SSU rRNA". It matches the Rfam family "Eukaryotic small subunit ribosomal RNA", at positions 46 to 417 of the family's 1831-position model. The record is from RNAcentral. Lineage: Eukaryota; Metazoa; Nematoda; Chromadorea; Chromadorida; Cyatholaimidae.